This 472-nucleotide ribosomal RNA is filed under the name uncultured bacterium. RNAcentral's name for it is "partial 16S ribosomal RNA". It matches the Rfam family "Bacterial small subunit ribosomal RNA", at positions 30 to 507 of the family's 1533-position model. The record is from RNAcentral.
AUUGAACGCUGGCGGCAGGCCUAACACAUGCAAGUCGAGCGGGGACUUCGGUCCUAGCGGCGAACGGGUGAGUAAUGCUUGGGAAUCUGCCCAGUAGUGGGGGAUAACGUCCCGAAAGGGACGCUAAUACCGCAUACGUCCUACGGGAGAAAGAGGGGGAUCUUCGGACCUCUCGCUAUUGGAUGAGCCCAAGUCGGAUUAGCUAGUUGGUAGGGUAAUGGCCUACCAAGGCGACGAUCCGUAGCUGGUCUGAGAGGAUGAUCAGCCACACUGGAACUGAGACACGGUCCAGACUCCUACGGGAGGCAGCAGUGAGGAAUAUUGGACAAUGGGCGAAAGCCUGAUCCAGCCAUGCCGCGUGUGUGAAGAAGGCCUUCGGGUUGUAAAGCACUUUAAGCGGGGAGGAAGGUUCGCGGCCUAAUACGUCGCGGAAUUGACGUUACCCGCAGAAUAAGCACCGGCUAACUCUGUG